AACAAAGAAAGGAGAAAAAGAGGUAAGGAAACGCACGCUCUUUUCUCUCUUUUCUUUUGUUCACUUCACUUCUUUGUGCUGUCAUUUCUUUCUUUUUCUUUGGCUAGUUUCGUGCUUCCAUUCCUUUUCAUUACAAACUAGCCAAAGCAAAGAAAUGAAAUGAACAGAACAAAGAA
Molecule: non-coding RNA, 176 nt
Filed under: uncultured Symbiodinium
Lineage: Eukaryota; Dinophyceae; Suessiales; Symbiodiniaceae
Source: RNAcentral